This 75-nucleotide transfer RNA is filed under the name Candidatus Terrybacteria bacterium RIFCSPHIGHO2_01_FULL_48_17. RNAcentral's name for it is "tRNA-Ala". It matches the Rfam family "tRNA". From Rfam's summary of the family: Transfer RNA (tRNA) molecules are approximately 80 nucleotides in length. The record is from RNAcentral. Lineage: Bacteria; Candidatus Terryibacteriota. RNAcentral also lists the same sequence under 1 other name.
GGGGGCGUAGCUCAGCGGUAGAGCAUCCGCCUUGCACGCGGAAGGUCAGGAGUUCGAAUCUCCUCGCCUCCAUCA